UACAGAGGGGGCAAGCGUUGUUCGGAAUUACUGGGCGUAAAGGGCGCGUAGGCGGCCUGUUAAGUCGGAUGUGAAAUUCCCAGGCUCAACCUGGGAACUGCAUCCGAUACUGGAUGGCUUGAAUCCGGGAGAGGGAUGCAGAAUUCCAGGUGUAGCGGUGAAAUGCGUAGAUAUCUGGAGGAAUACCGGUGGCGAAGGCGGCAUCCUGGACCGGCAUUGACGCUGAGGAGCGAAAGCUAGGGGAGCAAACGGG
RNAcentral lists this ribosomal RNA (253 nucleotides) under uncultured bacterium. RNAcentral's name for it is "partial 16S ribosomal RNA". It matches the Rfam family "Bacterial small subunit ribosomal RNA", at positions 524 to 776 of the family's 1533-position model. The record is from RNAcentral.